RNAcentral lists this small RNA (127 nucleotides) under Marmota monax (woodchuck). The record is from RNAcentral. Lineage: Eukaryota; Metazoa; Chordata; Mammalia; Rodentia; Sciuridae.
UCCGGGCACGGUGGCACAUGCCUGUAAUCCCAGCAGCUUGGGAGGCUGAAUCAGGAGGAUCACAAGUUCAAAGCCAGCCGCAGCAACUUAGCAAGUCCCUAAGCAAAACAGUGAGACCCUGUCUCUA